RNAcentral lists this ribosomal RNA (497 nucleotides) under uncultured bacterium. Its description in RNAcentral is "partial 16S ribosomal RNA". It matches the Rfam family "Bacterial small subunit ribosomal RNA", at positions 28 to 507 of the family's 1533-position model. The record is from RNAcentral.
GAUGAACGCUGGCGGCGUGCCUAAUACAUGCAAGUCGAGCGAACAGAUAAGGAGCUUGCUCCUUUGACGUUAGCGGCGGACGGGUGAGUACCACGUGGGUAACCUACCUAUAAGACUGGAAUAACUCCGGGAAACCGGGUCUAAUGCCGGAUAACAUUUAGAAACGCAUGGUUCUAAAGUGAAAGAUGGUUUUGCUAUCACUUAUAGAUGGACCCGCGCCGUAUUAGCUAGUUGGUAAGGUAACGGCUUACCAAGGCAACGAUACGUAGCCGACCUGAGAGGAUGAUCGGCCACACUGGAACUGAGACACGGUCCAGACUCCUACGGGAGGCAGCAGUAGGGAAUCUUCCGCAAUGGGCGAAAGCCUGACGGAGCAACGCCGCGUGAGUGAUGAAGGUCUUCGGAUCGUAAAACUCUGUUAUUAGGGAAGAACAAAUGUGUAAGUAACUGUUCACGUCUUGACGGUACCAAAUCAGAAAGCCACGGCUAACUACGUG